UGUGCAUGCACGUGCAUCCAGCUGCCUGUUGAAUAUUUUGUGGGUCAGCGGUGCAUACCUCAUAUUUAUUGGGUUAGUUUGAGAAUAUUUAUUUAGGUUGCUGAGAAUUCUUAAUACCUAAUAACAAACAUAAAUUUAGGUCUAACCAUACGGUUUGAUGUUUAAAUCUAAAUCGUACAUCCUCCCGGCCGUUGACCAUGGUAUGUUCAACCAUCAUUAAUGUUGAUUGUAAACGGCUGACUUGAUGUGUUGCCUCCAUUCGCUGAUGUGGUAGGCUGUUGCAUUGGCUGCGAGGUAUUCCUGGCUUUGUGCCAUUUCUUGACCAAAUGAACUAUUGCAAUGAUCAUUAUAAAGAUCAUUGCAAUGUAUAUGGCAAUAUGGUGAUGACCUAUAUUUUCAAAGUUGUGGGGUAACUUGAAACUAUUCGGUGGUAACAGCCUUGUUUCCAUUUGAUACAGCUCCUUGUAAUUUAAUUUUUCUUCGUUUGUUGAAGCUGUAUCUGUCGGACGUUCAGUUGAUGUUUUGUUGAUGUCAUUUUCUCCGAAUCGAGCGUAUGACAAAUGCCAUGUCGUCUCCAUUGUGCUUUGACUUGUCACGGUCAUCAAAGAAUUUCGAAUGAUGCAUCCAGGGUUUGCGAUCAAUAAUCCUGAAUUUUGUAAUUUGAUAUCCGAUAUUCCAUCUGCACAUACUGCUGAUAAUUUCAAUGAUGAUUUUGUUGAAAAUAUCCAUUGAUUUUUACCAUGCAUACUCAACCAUAUAAAUGAUUUUUUUGUUUUGAUUAAGUUGCAUGAUGGAUCCGUUUUGUUAUGGAACAUUUGUAAAUGUUUGUAAAAUUGUUUGUUUAUUAUAGCAUACAAAAUCAUUGUUUGCUCUUGGAUGGCAAUUUUUUAGAUCACUCUCUGACUCUCUUGAAAAGCGAUGAAGUGAUCAGCUCUUCCCUUUGAUUCGGUGAUAAAGUCCUCAACUCGACUUAGUCUUUUGGAGUUUGAGAUUUCAUCCCUUUUUAUUACUGUUUCCGCAACUCCUCGCAACCAGUUCGGAAUAAAAAUCUCGAAGUAAAAAGUCGGAAUUCAAUCAAUUUAAUACUCUCCUUCUUUCAAUUUCGCUAUUCACCCAUUACAUGCAUGUUCUUCCUCUUUGUCUAUCGAUAUUCACAUAUUACAUGUAUGUUCUAUGGCACCAAACUUCUGUGAGCAUGUCAAAAUGCAACAAUUCAAUAUCUUAAUGCUACCAAUUCAUUUUACUUAUAUCCAAAUACUAAUUGCUCCCGGCCAUAAGCCCUUUGCGCAAAUUUGGCGUAAACAAUUACAUUAAUUGUAGAGUCAAUCAAUGAUGUCUGAUUUUUAAGCAGGGCUAAUAAGUGAUUCUCGUUAUCCUUAACCUUUGCUAUCGUUUCCGACAUUGUACGGGCAUAUGUUGAGUCUAGUACGCCAAACAGACUGCUUGCGAUGUUUCCAAUGAUGUCCAGCGGAGCUCUUUGUUUCCGUGUCCUUGCUAUUAGCGCAUAUUCAGCUUGCAGGUCCUCUUCUAUAUGUUUGAAAUGUUGAUGCAAACUGGUGCAUGCGUCUACUUGUUGAAGUUGCUUGCAUAGAUGUCCAAUUUUUGAAGUACCCAUGGUGAAUGUGUUCAUGUCUUUCCAAUAGGGCUUUAGGUUGUAAUAGACAAUUAUGGUCCAGUCAGUUGUCGCAAGUUGGCUGGUUCCUACUUUUUCGAAGUAUAUACCCGGGUUUGAACCAAUCUGGGCUAUGUUGAUUGACUGCGCCAUUGCUAACGGUAAAAGUAACAAUAUGACAAACAUUGUCAUGGUUAACGACAGUCUAUUCGGCUGUGUCC
RNAcentral lists this long non-coding RNA (1833 nucleotides) under Drosophila guanche. Lineage: Eukaryota; Metazoa; Arthropoda; Insecta; Diptera; Drosophilidae. The record is from RNAcentral.